Molecule: ribosomal RNA, 427 nt
Filed under: Anadara pilula
Lineage: Eukaryota; Metazoa; Mollusca; Bivalvia; Arcoida; Arcidae
Description: partial 12S ribosomal RNA
Source: RNAcentral
CGUUACUCCCGGCAUUAAGUGUGGCUAAUUUUUUUAUUUUGCGCAUGUUUGCCGGGCAACAACGUCGGAUGGAGGUAAAAGUCGAAGUGCUUGGCGGUCUAGCGAUGAACCAGCCCGUGAGACUUGACGGUUAAUCCGAUAAUCCGCGUAAAUUCUACUCUUUUCUUGUAUUCGACAGUUGGUGUAUGGCCGUGCAGUGCUUCCUGAAAGGGAGUUGCAAAAUCCAGCGUGAAUGUUAUUAGAUUAACUGAACGAAAGUGGAGGAAGACAGGUCGUCAUGCUGCCCAUGAAGGAGGCUUAGUUGAGUCACAAUGAAAACAAAUCAAACGGAGUCGGGGAGGAAGAAACCUGACGAAGAAGUAAUGGGUAGUAAGAAGAGAAUAAUUCGCUUUUCUGAAUCGUGAACUCCUAGGUGUACAAAUCGCCC